RNAcentral lists this non-coding RNA (28 nucleotides) under Rattus norvegicus (Norway rat). The record is from RNAcentral. Lineage: Eukaryota; Metazoa; Chordata; Mammalia; Rodentia; Muridae.
GACUGUAAUCCUAAAAGACCCAAAGAGC